Molecule: ribosomal RNA, 487 nt
Filed under: Methanosarcina flavescens
Lineage: Archaea; Methanobacteriati; Methanobacteriota; Methanomicrobia; Methanosarcinales; Methanosarcinaceae
Description: bacterial SSU rRNA
Rfam family: Archaeal small subunit ribosomal RNA
Source: RNAcentral
AAUGUACCUACUAGCCUACAACGGGUACGGGUUGUGAGAGCAAGAGCCCGGAGAUGGAUUCUGAGACAUGAAUCCAGGCCCUACGGGGCGCAGCAGGCGCGAAAACUUUACAAUGCGGGAAACCGUGAUAAGGGGACACCGAGUGCCAGCAUCAUAUGCUGGCUGUCCAGAUGUGUAAAAUACAUCUGUUAGCAAGGGCCGGGCAAGACCGGUGCCAGCCGCCGCGGUAACACCGGCGGCCCGAGUGGUGAUCGUGAUUAUUGGGUCUAAAGGGUCCGUAGCCGGUUUGGUCAGUCCUCCGGGAAAUCUGAUAGCUCAACUAUUAGGCUUUCGGGGGAUACUGCCAGGCUUGGAACCGGGAGAGGUAAGAGGUACUACAGGGGUAGGAGUGAAAUCUUGUAAUCCCUGUGGGACCACCUGUGGCGAAGGCGUCUUACCAGAACGGGUUCGACGGUGAGGGACGAAAGCUGGGGGCACGAACCGGAUU